UGGGGAAUAUUGCACAAUGGGCGCAAGCCUGAUGCAGCCAUGCCGCGUGUAUGAAGAAGGCCUUCGGGUUGUAAAGUACUUUCAGCGAGGAGGAAGGCGGUAAGGUUAAUAACCUUAUCGAUUGACGUUACUCGCAGAAGAAGCACCGGCUAACUCCGUGCCAGCAGCCGCGGUAAUACGGAGGGUGCAAGCGUUAAUCGGAAUUACUGGGCGUAAAGCGCACGCAGGCGGUCUGUCAAGUCGGAGGUGAAAUCCCCGGGCUCAACCUGGGAACUGCAUUCGAAACUGGCAGGCUAGAGUCUUGUAGAGGGGGGUAGAAUUCCAGGUGUAGCGGUGAAAUGCGUAGAGAUCUGGAGGAAUACCGGUGGCGAAAGCGGCCCCCUGGACAAAGACUGACGCUCAGGUGCGAAAGCGUGGGGAGCAAACA
RNAcentral lists this ribosomal RNA (427 nucleotides) under uncultured bacterium. Its description in RNAcentral is "partial 16S ribosomal RNA". It matches the Rfam family "Bacterial small subunit ribosomal RNA", at positions 355 to 774 of the family's 1533-position model. The record is from RNAcentral.